This 457-nucleotide ribosomal RNA is filed under the name uncultured bacterium. Its description in RNAcentral is "bacterial SSU rRNA". It matches the Rfam family "Bacterial small subunit ribosomal RNA", at positions 338 to 795 of the family's 1533-position model. The record is from RNAcentral.
CCUANGGGAGGCUGCAGUGGGGAAUAUUGGUCAAUGGGCGAAAGCCUGAACCAGCAAUGCCGCGUGAGUGAUGAAGGCCUUCGGGUUGUAAAGCUCUGUCAGGAGGAACGAAAAUACCACUUCGGUGGUACUGACGGUACCUUCAAAGGAAGCACCGGCUAACUCUGUGCCAGCAGCCGCGGUAAUACAGAGGGUGCAAGCGUUGUUCGGAAUUACUGGGCGUAAAGCGCGUGUAGGCGGUAUAGUAAGUCUGACGUGAAAUCCCUUGGCUUAACCAAGGACCUGCGUCAGAUACUGCUAAACUGGAGUCUCGGAGGGGGUGGCGGAAUUCCCGGUGUAGAGGUGAAAUUCGUAGAUAUCGGGAGGAACACCUGUGGCGAAGGCGGCCACCUGGAAGACGACUGACGCUGAGACGCGAAAGCGUGGGUAGCAAACAGGAUUAGAUACCCCGNUANUC